This 252-nucleotide ribosomal RNA is filed under the name uncultured bacterium. RNAcentral describes it as "partial 16S ribosomal RNA". It matches the Rfam family "Bacterial small subunit ribosomal RNA", at positions 524 to 776 of the family's 1533-position model. The record is from RNAcentral.
UACGUAGGGUGCAAGCGUUGUCCGAAUUAUUGGGCGUAAAGAGCUUGUAGGCGGUUUGUCGCGUCUGCUGUGAAAUUUCGGGGCUCAACCCCGAACUUGCAGUGGGUACGGGCAGACUAGAGUGUGGUAGGGGAGACUGGAAUUCCUGGUGUAGCGGUGAAAUGCGCAGAUAUCAGGAGGAACACCGAUGGCGAAGGCAGGUCUCUGGGCCAUAACUGACGCUGAGAAGCGAAAGCAUGGGGAGCGAACAGG